RNAcentral lists this transfer RNA (17 nucleotides) under Odorrana chapaensis (Chapa torrent frog). Its description in RNAcentral is "partial tRNA-Trp". Lineage: Eukaryota; Metazoa; Chordata; Amphibia; Anura; Ranidae. RNAcentral also lists the same sequence under 1 other name. The record is from RNAcentral.
AGAGACUUAGGCUAGUA